RNAcentral lists this ribosomal RNA (118 nucleotides) under Atractosteus spatula (alligator gar). RNAcentral also lists the same sequence under 1 other name. Lineage: Eukaryota; Metazoa; Chordata; Actinopteri; Semionotiformes; Lepisosteidae. The record is from RNAcentral.
GCCAGCAGCUAUAUCACCCUGAAACUCACUACUGGCAACCAACUGAAGCUAAGGAGGUGUGUGCCUGGUCAGUACCUGGAUGGGAGACCUCUUGGAAAAGCCUGUGUUGCUGCUGGAA